RNAcentral lists this ribosomal RNA (254 nucleotides) under uncultured bacterium. Its description in RNAcentral is "partial 16S ribosomal RNA". It matches the Rfam family "Bacterial small subunit ribosomal RNA", at positions 524 to 776 of the family's 1533-position model. The record is from RNAcentral.
CACGUAGGGGCCAAGCGUUGUCCGGAUUUAUUGGGCGUAAAGAGCUCGUAGGCGGUUCGACAAGUCGGGUGUGAAAACUCCGGGCUCAACCCGGAGACGCCACCCGAUACUGUCGUGACUGGAGUCCGGUAGGGGAGUGGGGAAUUCCUGGUGUAGCGGUGAAAUGCGCAGAUAUCAGGAGGUACACCGGUGGCGAAGGCGCCACUCUGGGCCGGUACUGACGCUGAGGAGCGAAAGCGUGGGUAGCAAACAGG